UACGUAGGGGGCUAGCGUUGUCCGGAUUUAUUGGGCGUAAAGAGCGCGUAGGCGGCCGAGUAAGUCCGACGUGAAAUCUGGAGGCUCAACCUCCAGCGGUCGUUGGAAACUACUCGGCUAGAGACCGGAAGAGGAGAGUGGAAUUCCUGGUGUAGCGGUGAAAUGCGCAGAUAUCAGGAAGAACACCGAUGGCGAAAGCAGCUCUCUGGGACGGUACUGACGCUGAGACGCGAAAGCGUGGGGAGCGAACAGG
RNAcentral lists this ribosomal RNA (253 nucleotides) under uncultured bacterium. Its description in RNAcentral is "partial 16S ribosomal RNA". It matches the Rfam family "Bacterial small subunit ribosomal RNA", at positions 524 to 776 of the family's 1533-position model. The record is from RNAcentral.